GCUGAACAACAAAAUUCUCUGGAGAAAUGGGCCCCGAUGCCUGGUUACAUAAGAGCCUUCUUUACACACUGGUUAAAAUAUAAUGCCACAGUCCCUCUCAUUCCUGCGAUCAAUUGACUUCGCUUCUAUUUCCGCCCUCAAAAAAUAAAGUAUGAUGAGAGUUUGACCAAAUAGAAAAUAUUUAACUCCUCAGGGACGAUGAGGCCAGGAGAAACAGUGUAGGAAUGUUGCAGAAACGUGUCUGGUUCGUUGAAGAGCCAUAACCCUGGAGUCUUGACUAAUGGCUCAUAACCCGUGCUGAGGGAGGUCUCCAGUGGAGUACUAAAGAGAUCUUCCCUUGUCUCUAUCUUUGCAACAUUUUCGACUUAGAUGAAGACGUAGAAGGUUUACGUUUCUUCGCGCCGAAGCAAUCUUUCAAAAGUUGCUUUAGUGAAGAUCUAUUGGUCGUAGAGUCUGUUACACUUUGUAUGUCUGACAAGAACUUCAUUCUACCCUCCCCUUCAAGGACUAGUUGAACUGAACGCAAUGUUCUAGAACGACAGCUCUUCCAUCGUCUUUUGGCAUCUACUGUUGCACGGUAGGAAUCUACCGUCAGGUCUUGUUCCUCUGUAGAUCAUCUCUUCUCUCCACUCAAUGGCUUUUAAGGAAGUAUGGAUUAGCUUUAUCUUUUAUACUUUUCAGAUCCAUUACUCCUGUCUAGAUGUGAAUUUAUUUUUUAUUAUCUAGCUUGGAACCUGGAAUGUAAUUUUGAUCGGAGGACUUAGACAUUUCUUCAAUUUGGGAAAACCAUUUUAUUAUUUCUUCAGCAAUUGUAGAGAGAGGGAGAUACAGAAUCUGAAACAGGCUCCAGGCUCUGACUUUCAGCACAGAGCCCGAUGCAGGGCUCGAACUCAUGAACCGUGAGAUCAUGACGUGAGCCGAAGUCAGACACUUAACCGACUGAGCCACCCAGAUGCCCCUAGAAUACUUAUUUAAAAAAAUUUUUUUAAUGUUUAUUUAUUUUUGAGAGAGAGUGUGUGAGCGGGGAAGGGGCAGAGAGAGGGAGACACAGAAUCUGAAGCAGGCUGCAGGCUCUGAGCUGUCAGCACAGAGCCCGAUGCAGGGCUCGAACUCAUGAACUGGGAGAUCAUGACCCGAGCUGAAGUCAGAUGCCCAACUGACUGAGCCACCCAGACGCCCCAAGAAUACUUAUUUUAAACUGGUUCUUGGAGUUUCUACACCAUGAUAGUAUCAUGGCUUUCAAAGAUCCAGUCAUCAGUCAGCAUGACUUAAGUUAGUUACUGGCUUAGUUACUCCUCUGUCUCUUAUAGACCAGCAGAUACUUAGGAACCAGUCCUAGGCAGCAGUGGGCACUAUCUUUUUAAAACUGAAGUACACAGGGGUGCCUGGGUGGCUCAGUUGGUUAAGUGUCUGACUUCACCUCAGGUCAUGACCUCGUGGUUUGUGAGUUUGAGGCCCAGGUCGGGCUCCGUGCUGACAGCUCAGAGCCUGGAGCCUGCUUCAGAUUCUGUGUCUCCCUCUCUCUCUGCCCCUCCCUCACUCAUGCUCUGUCUCUCAAAAAUGAAUAAAUGUUAAAAAAAAUUUUAAUUGAAGUACGUACAUUGAAAUACACAGAUCUUAAGUGUAUGGUUAGAUUAGUCUUGAAAAAUACAUACGCUUGAGUAACCCACACCCCUCUCAAGGUAUAGAACAUUUCCAUCAUUCCAGAAGUUCUUUGAUAUUUGUCCCAGUUUCCCCUCUACUCUAGCAGCCUCUCUUCCGAUUUUAUCACCAGAGGUUAAUUUUGCUUGUUUUAGAACUUCAUGGAAUCAUAUACUGUCCUAGCCGGUUCAGGGUGUUGUAGCAAAAAUACCAUAGACUGAAUGGCUUAAACAACAAACACUUGUAUUUCUUACAGUUCUGGAAAGUGGGAAGUCCAAGACCAGGGCAAAGAUUCGGUGCCGGUGAGAACCCAGCUCUUGGUUCAUAGAUGGCUGCCUUCUGGCUGUAUCCUCACAUGGUGUGAAGAAAAUGAAAACGAAAUGAUAGAGCCCUCUGGGAUCUCUUUUAUAAGUGCAGUGAUCCCAUUCAUAAGGGACCCACCAUUAUGAUCUAAUCAUCUCCCCAAGGCUCCAUGUAAAUACCAUCGUAUUGGAGACUAGGUUUCAAUAUACGUGUGAGGGAUGAGAAGGACACAGACUUUCAGUCUAUGGCUUGUAGCCUGUACUCUUUUGUGUCAGGUUCCUUUUGUUCUUUCGCAUUGCUGUGUGUGUCAGCAAUUUAUUCCUUUUCAUUGUUGAGCAAUAUAACAGUAUUUGUUUACCCAUUCUCCUGUCAAUAGACAUCCGGGAUGUUUUCAGUUUGGGGCUAUUAUGAGCAGAACUACUCCGAAUAUACUUGUGCAAGGCUUU
Molecule: long non-coding RNA, 2390 nt
Organism: Acinonyx jubatus (cheetah)
Lineage: Eukaryota; Metazoa; Chordata; Mammalia; Carnivora; Felidae
Exons: 2
Source: RefSeq, a predicted model, not a curated record